Molecule: small RNA, 128 nt
Filed under: Arabidopsis thaliana (thale cress)
Lineage: Eukaryota; Viridiplantae; Streptophyta; Magnoliopsida; Brassicales; Brassicaceae
Description: ATSL173530
Source: RNAcentral
UUUAUAAAAAUAAAAUUUGCAAGUUUUAAUAUAUAUUACUUUUAAAAAAUAAAUCGUCCCGCGGUAUAUCGCGGGUUAAAAUCUAGUAAAGAUGUUAUUACGUAAGUUACUCAUAUUUCUUUUACGUU